This 463-nucleotide ribosomal RNA is filed under the name uncultured bacterium. RNAcentral describes it as "partial 16S ribosomal RNA". It matches the Rfam family "Bacterial small subunit ribosomal RNA", at positions 28 to 507 of the family's 1533-position model. The record is from RNAcentral.
GACGAACGCUGGCGGCGUGCUUAACACAUGCAAGUCGAACGGAAAGGCCCUGCUUUUGUGGGGUGCUCGAGUGGCGAACGGGUGAGUAACACGUGAGUAACCUGCCCUUGACUUUGGGAUAACUUCAGGAAACUGGGGCUAAUACCGGAUAGGAGCUCCUGCUGCAUGGUGGGGGUUGGAAAGUUUCGGCGGUUGAGGAUGGACUCGCGGCUUAUCAGCUAGCUGGUGGAGUAAAAGCUUACCAAGGCUUUGACGGGUAGCCGGCCUGAGAGGGUGACCGGGCAGAGGGGAAGUGAGAAACGGGCCAAAGGCAUACGGGAGGCAGCAGUGGGGAAUAGUGCACAAUGGAGGGAACUCUGAUGCAGCGACGCCGCGGGAACGAAGAAGGCUGUCGAGGGGGAAAGUGCUUGGAUAUGGGAAGAUAAGGAAGGUACCAGAAGAAAAAGCCCCGGCGAACUACGUG